UUACCGAGUUUACAACUCCCAAACCCCUGUGAACAUACCUUAAUGUUGCCUCGGCGGAUCAGCCCGCGCCCCGUAAAACGGGACGGCCCGCCAGAGGACCCAAACUCUAAUGUUUCUUAUUGUAACUUCUGAGUAAAACAAACAAAUAAAUCAAAACUUUCAACAACGGAUCUCUUGGUUCUGGCAUCGAUGAAGAACGCAGCAAAAUGCGAUAAGUAAUGUGAAUUGCAGAAUUCAGUGAAUCAUCGAAUCUUUGAACGCACAUUGCGCCCGCUGGUAUUCCGGCGGGCAUGCCUGUUCGAGCGUCAUUUCAACCCUCAAGCCCCCGGGUUUGGUGUUGGGGAUCGGCUCUGCCCUUCUGGGCGGCGCCGCCCCCGAAAUACAUUGGCGGUCUCGCUGCAGCCUCCAUUGCGUAGUAGCUAACACCUCGCAACUGGAACGCGGCGCGGCCAUGCCGUAAAACCCCAACUUCUGAAUGUUGACCUCGGAUCAGGUAGGAAUACCCGCUGAACUUAAGCAUAUCAAUAAGCGGAGGAAAAGAAACCAACAGGGAUUGCCCUAGUAACGGCGAGUGAAGCGGCAACAGCUCAAAUUUGAAAUCUGGCUUUCGGGCCCGAGUUGUAAUUUGUAGAGGAUACUUUUGAUGCGGUGCCUUCCGAGUUCCCUGGAACGGGACGCCAUAGAGGGUGAGAGCCCCGUCUGGUUGGAUGCCAAAUCUCUGUAAAGUUCCUUCGACGA
This 738-nucleotide ribosomal RNA is filed under the name fungal sp. Its description in RNAcentral is "eukaryotic LSU rRNA". The stretch from base 480 to 738 matches the Rfam family "Eukaryotic large subunit ribosomal RNA", at positions 1 to 263 of the family's 3401-position model. Lineage: Eukaryota; Fungi. The record is from RNAcentral.